RNAcentral lists this ribosomal RNA (511 nucleotides) under uncultured Acaulospora. Its description in RNAcentral is "SSU rRNA". It matches the Rfam family "Eukaryotic small subunit ribosomal RNA", at positions 569 to 1081 of the family's 1831-position model. The record is from RNAcentral. Lineage: Eukaryota; Fungi; Glomeromycota; Glomeromycetes; Diversisporales; Acaulosporaceae.
AGCAGCCGCGGUAAUUCCAGCUCCAAUAGCGUAUAUUAAAGUUGUUGCAGUUAAAAAGCUCGUAGUUGAAUUUCGGAAUCUGUCCGUCGGUCGGGCUUCACAGUCCGUACUGGUGUGGUGGGUUCUUACCUUCUGAAUAACCAGCAUGCCAUUCACUUGGUGCGUUGGGGAAGCAGGACUAUUACCUUGAAAAAUUAGAGUGCUCAAAGCAGGCUAGUGCCUGAAUACAUUAGCAUGGAAUAAUAAAAUAGGACGGCAUGGUUCUAUUUUGUUGGUUUCUAGGAUCACCGUAAUGAUUAAUAGGGAUAGUUGGGGGCAUUAGUAUUCAAUUGUCAGAGGUGAAAUUCUUGGGUUUAUUGAAGACUAACUUCUGCGAAAGCAUUUGCCAAGGAUGUUUUCAUUAAUCAAGAACGAAAGUUAGGGGAUCGAAGACGAUCAGAUACCGUCGUAGUCUUAACCAUAAACUAUGCCGACUAGGGAUCGGACGAUGUUAAUUUUUAAUGACUCGUUC